This 492-nucleotide ribosomal RNA is filed under the name uncultured bacterium. RNAcentral describes it as "partial 16S ribosomal RNA". It matches the Rfam family "Bacterial small subunit ribosomal RNA", at positions 29 to 507 of the family's 1533-position model. The record is from RNAcentral.
AGUGAACGCUGGCGGUAGGCCUAACACAUGCAAGUCGAACGGCAGCACAGUAAGAGCUUGCUCUUACGGGUGGCGAGUGGCGGACGGGUGAGGAAUACAUCGGAAUCUACUUUUUCGUGGGGGAUAACGUAGGGAAACUUACGCUAAUACCGCAUACGACCUACGGUUGAAAGCAGGGGAUCUUCGGACCUUGCGCGAUUUAUUGAGCCGAUGUCGGAUUAGCUAGUUGGCGGGGUAAAGGCCCACCAAGGCGACGAUCCGUAGAUGGUCUGAGAGGAUGAUCAGCCACACUGGAACUGAGACACGGUCCAGACUCCUACGGGAGGCAGCAGUGGGGAAUAUUGGACAAUGGGCGCAAGCCUGAUCCAGCAAUACCGCGUGGGUGAAGAAGGCCUUCGGGUUGUAAAGCCCUUUUGUUGGGAAAGAAAAGAAGCAGGUUAAUACCCCGCUGUUCUGACGGUACCCAAAGAAUAAGCACCGGCUAACUUCGUG